RNAcentral lists this ribosomal RNA (429 nucleotides) under uncultured bacterium. Its description in RNAcentral is "bacterial SSU rRNA". It matches the Rfam family "Bacterial small subunit ribosomal RNA", at positions 355 to 776 of the family's 1533-position model. The record is from RNAcentral.
UGGGGAAUAUUGGACAAUGGGGGAAACCCUGAUCCAGCAAUGCCGCGUGUGCGAUGAAGGCCUGAGGGUUGUAAAGCACUUUCGUUGGGGAAGAAAUGCUCAAAGUUAAUACCUUUGAGAGUUGACGUUACCCAAAUAAGAAGCACCGGCUAACUCUGUGCCAGCAGCCGCGGUAAUACAGAGGGUGCAAGCGUUAAUCGGAGUUACUGGGCGUAAAGGGCGCGUAGGCGGACUUUUAAGUCGGGUGUGAAAUCCCUGGGCUCAACCUAGGAAUUGCAUUCGAUACUGGGAGUCUAGAGUAUGGUAGAGGAAAGUGGAAUUCCCGGUGUAGUAGUAAAAUACGUAGAUAUCGGGAGGAACACCAGUGGCGAAGGCGGCUUUCUGGCCCAAUACUGACGCUGAGGCGCGAAAGCGUGGGGAGCAAACAGG